Molecule: ribosomal RNA, 432 nt
Filed under: uncultured bacterium
Lineage: Bacteria
Description: partial 16S ribosomal RNA
Rfam family: Bacterial small subunit ribosomal RNA
Source: RNAcentral
AACGAACGCUGGCGGCAUGCCUAACACAUGCAAGUCGAACGAGACCUUCGGGUCUAGUGGCGCACGGGUGCGUAACGCGUGGGAACCUGCCCUUAGGUUCGGAAUAACUCCCCGAAAGGGGUGCUAAUACCGGAUAAUGUCUUCGGACCAAAGAUUUAUCGCCUUUGGAUGGGCCCGCGUUGGAUUAGCUAGUUGGUAGGGUAAAAGCCUACCAAGGCGAUGAUCCAUAGCUGGUCUGAGAGGAUGAUCAGCCACACUGGGACUGAGACACGGCCCAGACUCCUACGGGAGGCAGCAGUGGGGAAUAUUGGACAAUGGGCGAAAGCCUGAUCCAGCAAUGCCGCGUGAGUGAUGAAGGCCUUAGGGUUGUAAAGCUCUUUUACCCGGGAUGAUAAUGACAGUACCGGGAGAAUAAGCUCCGGCUAACUCCGU